UACGGGGGGUGCGAGCGUUGUCCGGAAUCACUGGGCGUAAAGGGCGCGUAGGUGGCUUGGCAAGCGCGUGGUGAAAGCCCGGGGCUCAACCCCGGGUCUGCCAUGCGAACUGCUAUGGCUUGAGCACUGUAGAGGCAGGUAGAAUUCCGGGUGUAGCGGUGGAAUGCGUAGAGAUCCGGAAGAAUACCGGUGGCGAAGGCGGCCUGCUGGGCAGUGGCUGACACUGAGGCGCGACAGCGUGGGGAGCAAACAGG
Molecule: ribosomal RNA, 254 nt
Filed under: uncultured bacterium
Lineage: Bacteria
Description: partial 16S ribosomal RNA
Rfam family: Bacterial small subunit ribosomal RNA
Source: RNAcentral